GAUCCUGUGGCCUAGUGGUUAGAGCGUCCGCCUCGGAUGCGGGAGGCCAAGGGUUUAAAACCAGCUAAGACAUACCA
Molecule: non-coding RNA, 77 nt
Organism: Potamilus streckersoni
Lineage: Eukaryota; Metazoa; Mollusca; Bivalvia; Unionida; Unionidae
Source: the annotation of a GenBank genome assembly